Long non-coding RNA from Gossypium arboreum, 387 nucleotides. RefSeq lists it as uncharacterized. The record is from RefSeq and is a predicted model, not a curated record. NCBI's taxonomy places the organism in Eukaryota, Viridiplantae, Streptophyta, Magnoliopsida, Malvales, Malvaceae. The transcript is spliced from 3 exons.
AUCCUUUGUGCUAUCAGUUUUAGUCAUUAAGGGCCGUAUUGCCACACUACCGUGUGAGAUCAUGCAGAUCGUGUGGAUAGACCAUGUGGACCACACGGGCUAGCUUUUUGGGCCUCGUGGGUCUUUUGGGCCAAUUAGGGAUCGACUAAAGGACUCAUAAUUUGGGUCCGAAGGGAUUAUGUAGGCCUAGAAAACGUAAAUUUCAGUAUAACAAACAUGGGUUAACUUCUGACUUAGGACCGGACGACGUGCGAGAGCUUGGAUUGGUUACUAGAUAAAAUAUUUGUGGGUUUAUGAUUUAAUUAUUUUUGGACUAUAAUAUGUUUUUGGUCCUAGUUUUGGUUUUUGUUUUAUUCAUCGACAUUUAAUAUUUUUGAGCAUUAAACU